This 457-nucleotide ribosomal RNA is filed under the name Rumina decollata. RNAcentral describes it as "partial 16S ribosomal RNA". It matches the Rfam family "Bacterial large subunit ribosomal RNA", at positions 1828 to 2596 of the family's 2925-position model. The record is from RNAcentral. Lineage: Eukaryota; Metazoa; Mollusca; Gastropoda; Stylommatophora; Subulinidae.
AGCCUGAAGAGACGAGAUUUUAGGUGAGCCCUGCCUAGCGACACUAAGUCUAGCGGCCGCAGUACCUUGACUGUGCUAAGGUAGCGUAAUAAUUUGUCCUUCAAUUAAGGUCUUGAAUGAACGGGUCUACGAGAAAUAUUCUGUCUCCUGUAUAAAUUCUGUAGAAGUUGCUAAAAAGGUGAAAAUUCCUUUAGUAAAAGAAAAUAGACGAGAAGACCCUUAGAAUUUUGAUAAAGAUUAUUAACCAAGUGAUAGUUUAGUUUUCGUUGGGGCGACGAGGUAGCAGAACCAGAGAACCUACCUAUUAAAAUUAGAUGAACCGAAUUUUAUUAUAUAUAGCUAAAAUUACCUAAGGGAUAACAGCAUAAUACUUGAUAGUGUUUGUGACCUCGAUGUUGGACUAGGGACUGAUUGGUUAACCACCAGGAUAGAUGAUUCUGUUCGAAUUCCACACCCU